This is a long non-coding RNA of Passer domesticus (house sparrow), 446 nucleotides long. RefSeq lists it as uncharacterized. The transcript is spliced from 4 exons. Lineage: Eukaryota; Metazoa; Chordata; Aves; Passeriformes; Passeridae. The record is from RefSeq and is a predicted model, not a curated record.
AAUACGCCAUCUGCCCUGCAGCUUGCAUGAGCAUCAUGUGGCUGCUGCUGCACUGGGGUUUUAAAGCAGCAUUCACCCCUCUGAAGGAGAUCCUGACACUGAUGAGCCUGGCUAUAUGAUGACUUAUAAAGCGUCUCUGCAAAUGGAAAAUUCCAAAUAAAUGAAUGAAUGUGCAUUCUACAUGGCUAUAUGAGGUGGAGCAGCAAAAGUUACCAAGCUAUCAGGAAACGCCUUCAAUGCCAGCUGAGAGCAUUGCUUCAGGUACAGUUGCUCCAAAAUAAUCGCAAAAUCAGCCAGUUUGGAAGUGACCAUAGUCCAACUUCCCUCAUCAAACAGGGUCAUCCCAGAGCACAUGGUACCAGAUUGUGUCCAGAUGGUUCUUGAAUAUUUCCAGAGAGGGAGACUCCACAGUCUCUCUGGGCAGCCUGUUACAGUUUGUGGUUACA